CUGGCGGCGUGCUCAUACAUGCAAGUCGAACGAUAAGGUACCUUCGGGAAGUACAUAAGUGGCGGACGGGUGAGUAAUAUGUAGAGAAUCUGCCUUCAAGCGGGGGACGAACAGAGGGAAACUUCUGCUAAUACCCCAUAUGAGCGUACCUGUGAUGGUAUUCUUGAAAGCUCCGGCGCUUGGAGAUGAGUCUGCAUCUGAUUAGCUAGUUGGGGGUGUAAUGGACCACCAAGGCGACGAUCAGUAGCUGGUUUGAGAGGAUGAUCAGCCACAAUGGGACUGAGACACGGCCCAUACUCCUACGGGAGGCAGCAGUAGGGAAUUUUGCGCAAUGGGCGAAAGCCUGACGCAGCCAACGCCGCGUGAUCGCAGACGGCCUUCGGGUUGUAAAGAUCUGUCAGUAGGGACGAACAAUGACUGUACCUACAGAGGAAGCACCGGCUAACUCCGUGCCAGCCGCGGC
RNAcentral lists this ribosomal RNA (463 nucleotides) under uncultured bacterium. RNAcentral describes it as "bacterial SSU rRNA". It matches the Rfam family "Bacterial small subunit ribosomal RNA", at positions 36 to 518 of the family's 1533-position model. The record is from RNAcentral.